AGACCCUUUUCCUUCUCUGAACGUUUCCUUACCAGUUCCCCACAAUUCCUGCUUUAACAAUUAACCCCAAUAAUCUUUUACUGUCAGUGGAAUUCAUUCAUUAAACCAUGACUUCCAUUGACAUUGAAAAUCUAAAUUCAUGCUAAACAAUGAUGCACUCGCUGUUCCAGCGUUGUACAACAGAAGUUCCUGUAAUUAUGCUAUGUCAUUUUCAAUUCUCU
Pelobates cultripes (western spadefoot toad) is the source of this 221-nucleotide non-coding RNA. NCBI's taxonomy places the organism in Eukaryota, Metazoa, Chordata, Amphibia, Anura, Pelobatidae. The record is from the annotation of a GenBank genome assembly.